This 480-nucleotide ribosomal RNA is filed under the name uncultured bacterium. Its description in RNAcentral is "partial 16S ribosomal RNA". It matches the Rfam family "Bacterial small subunit ribosomal RNA", at positions 28 to 523 of the family's 1533-position model. The record is from RNAcentral.
GACGAACGCUGGCGGCGUGCUUAACACAUGCAAGUCGAGCGGUAAGGCACUUCUGUGGUACUCGAGCGGCGAACGGGAGAGUAACACGUGAGUAAUCUGCCCCAUGCUCCGGAAUAGCCAGCCGAAAGGCUGAUUAAUGCCGGAUAUGACAUCGUCAGGCAUCUGGGGGUGUGGAAAGUUUUUUCGGCGUGGGAUGUGCUCGCGGCCUAUCAGCUUGUUGGUGGGGUAAUGGCCUACCAAGGCUUCGACGGGUAGCCGGCCUGAGAGGGUGACCGGCCACACUGGGACUGAGACACGGCCCAGACUCCUACGGGAGGCAGCAGUGGGGAAUAUUGGACAAUGGGCGGAAGCCUGAUCCAGCAACGCCGCGUGAGGGAUGACGGCCUUCGGGUUGUAAACCUCUUUCAGCACCGACGAAGCGUCAAGUGACGGUAGGUGCAGAAGAAGGACCGGCCAACUACGUGCCAGCAGCCGCCGUAA